This 182-nucleotide non-coding RNA is filed under the name unclassified sequences. Its description in RNAcentral is "malK-I RNA". It matches the Rfam family "malK-I RNA". The record is from RNAcentral.
UCUCAUGGCGCUUUUCCACUCCACAUCUAUGGAGGGGCGUACAUCCAAAAGGAGGUAAAACAUAACCGUUUGGCUCACGGUGCGGCAGUGUGGAGACCUGUCGUAAUGUCGGACGCUCUGAGAUACGGGCGGCGGCGAGGCGGUGAUGCGGAGGCUGAUCCGUCAGAGUCGGAAGCAUGAGC